This 484-nucleotide ribosomal RNA is filed under the name uncultured bacterium. Its description in RNAcentral is "partial 16S ribosomal RNA". It matches the Rfam family "Bacterial small subunit ribosomal RNA", at positions 29 to 507 of the family's 1533-position model. The record is from RNAcentral.
AUUGAACGCUGGCGGCAUGCUUUACACAUGCAAGUCGAACGGCAGCGCGGGCUUCGGCCUGGCGGCGAGUGGCGAACGGGUGAGUAAUACAUCGGAACGUGCCCAGUAGUGGGGGAUAGCUCGGCGAAAGCCGGAUUAAUACCGCAUACGACCUGAGGGUGAAAGCGGGGGGUCUUCGGACCUCGCGCUAUUGGAGCGGCCGAUGGCAGAUUAGCUAGUUGGUGGGGUAAAGGCCUACCAAGGCGACGAUCUGUAGCUGGUCUGAGAGGACGACCAGCCACACUGGAACUGAGACACGGCCCAGACUCCUACGGGAGGCAGCAGUGGGGAAUUUUGGACAAUGGGCGAAAGCCUGAUCCAGCAAUGCCGCGUGUGUGAUGAAGGCCUUCGGGUUGUAAAGCACUUUUGGCGGGAACGAAAAGGACUGUGCCAAUACCACGGUUCGAUGACGGUACCCGCAGAAUAAGCACCGGCUAACUACGUG